CGCAAUGGCGAAAGCCUGACGCAGCAAUACCGCGUGAGUGAUGAAGGCUCUUGGGUCGUAAAGCUCUGUCAGAGGGGAAGAACAUCMUAACGUAUAAUACACGUUAGGCUUGACGGUACCCUCAGAGGAAGCACCGGCUAACUCCGUGCCAGCAGCCGCGGUAAUACGGAGGGUGCAAACGUUGUUCGGAAUUAUUGGGCGUAAAGAGCAUGUAGGCGGUCUGUCAAGUCUGAUGUGAAAGCCCGGGGCUCAACCCCGGAAGUGCAUUGGAAACUGGCAGACUUGAGUACGGGAGAGGAAAGUGGAAUUUCGAGUGUAGGGGUGAAAUCCGUAGAUAUUCGRAGGAACACCAGUGGCGAAGGCGGCUUUCUGGACCGAUACUGACGCUGAGAUGCGAAAGCGUGGGGAGCAAACAGGAUUAGAUACCCUGGUAGUCCACGCCGUAAACGAUGGGUACUAGGUGUUG
RNAcentral lists this ribosomal RNA (466 nucleotides) under uncultured delta proteobacterium. RNAcentral's name for it is "bacterial SSU rRNA". It matches the Rfam family "Bacterial small subunit ribosomal RNA", at positions 367 to 825 of the family's 1533-position model. The record is from RNAcentral. Lineage: Bacteria; Deltaproteobacteria.